AAUCUGCCAGUAGUCAUAUGCUUGUCUUAAAGAUUAAGCCAUGCAUGUCUAAGUAUAAGCUUUUAUACGGCGAAACUGCGAAUGGCUCAUUAAAACAGUUAUAGUUUAUUUGAUGGUCUUUACUACAUGGAUAACCGUGGUAAUUCUAUGGCUAAUACAUGCGCACAUACCUCUUCCCUCGUGGAAGGGUAGUGUUUAUUAGAUACAGAACCAACCCACCUUCGGGUGGUCCCCAGGUGAUUCAUAGUAACCGAACGGAUCGCAUUAUGACCUUUUGGUCGGCGAUGGAUCAUUCAAGUUUCUGACCUAUCAGCUUUCGACGGUACUGUAUUGGACUACCGUGGCAGUGACGGGUAACGGGGAAUUAGGGUUCGAUUCCGGAGAGGGAGCCUGAGAAACGGCUACCACAUCUAAGGAAGGCAGCAGGCGCGCAAAUUACCCAAUCCUGACUCAGGGAGGUAGUGACAAGAAAUAACAACACUGGAAAUUAUAUUUCUAGUGAUUGGAUGGGGAUGGGAA
RNAcentral lists this ribosomal RNA (519 nucleotides) under Sarcocystis wobeseri. Its description in RNAcentral is "SSU rRNA". It matches the Rfam family "Eukaryotic small subunit ribosomal RNA", at positions 11 to 525 of the family's 1831-position model. The record is from RNAcentral. Lineage: Eukaryota; Apicomplexa; Conoidasida; Eucoccidiorida; Sarcocystidae.